UAGGGAAUCUUCGGCAAUGGACGAAAGUCUGACCGAGCAACGCCGCGUGAGUGAAGAAGGUUUUCGGAUCGUAAAACUCUGUUGUUAGAGAAGAACAAGGACGUUAGUAACUGAACGUCCCCUGACGGUAUCUAACCAGAAAGCCACGGCUAACUACGUGCCAGCAGCCGCGGUAAUACGUAGGUGGCAAGCGUUGUCCGGAUGUAUUGGGCGUAAAGCGAGCGCAGGCGGUUUCUUAAGUCUGAUGUGAAAGCCCCCGGCUCAACCGGGGAGGGUCAUUGGAAACUGGGCGACUUGAGUGCAGAAGAGGAGAGUGGAAUUCCAUGUGUAGCGAUGAAAUGCGUAGAUAUAUGGAGGAACACCAGUGGCGAAGGCGGCUCUCUGGUCUGUAACUGACGCUGAGGCUCGAAAGCGUGGGGAGCAAACAGG
RNAcentral lists this ribosomal RNA (429 nucleotides) under Chloroflexota bacterium. Its description in RNAcentral is "Chloroflexi bacterium partial 16S ribosomal RNA". It matches the Rfam family "Bacterial small subunit ribosomal RNA", at positions 355 to 776 of the family's 1533-position model. The record is from RNAcentral. Lineage: Bacteria; Bacillati; Chloroflexota.